This is a long non-coding RNA of Rhineura floridana, 1791 nucleotides long. RefSeq lists it as uncharacterized. Lineage: Eukaryota; Metazoa; Chordata; Lepidosauria; Squamata; Rhineuridae. The record is from RefSeq and is a predicted model, not a curated record. The transcript has 3 exons.
CGCCAGCCAGGCACUGCAAGCAGGAUGAGCUCAUUGGAAGCAGGCUGCAAUAGUCCCCGCCUACCGCAUUUCUCCCCCCAGGACGCCUUUCCCUGAACAGCCAGGCUCACGCUGGGGGAUGGGAAGGAGCUCCCAGGUUGCAAUUGAUGUCUCAGUUUCGCCCCCACCGUGUCUGGUCUGGACGGCUGGGCUGGACUAAGCCUCCUAAGCGCAAAGCCAAGCCCCACUGGGCGCGGCCAACUCACCGUGGCAACCCCCUUCCUUUUCUUCUCGGUUCCUGCCCGCAGCUUCGUCCCGCCCGCCCCUGGAGUGGCCAAAGUUCCUGUUGCUUGGAAAGAGGCAAAACCAUCUGGGACCAAUUAGCGGGAAGGGGCUCAGCAGGACUGCAGGGCAAGCCAGGCUGAGAGACCCGGCCUUGGGCAUUCCCUCCCCCUUUUCAAUGCAAGCCUGAAGUCAAGGGGCCAUGACGUUCAAAUGGAUAGGAGAGCUGCGUGGAGUCAACUGACUGAAGGGGGGAAUUAGAGUUGUCAUGUCUUGCUGACUAGUGCUUAAUAUAUGUUGUUUGCAUGACGGCUACUUAUAUUUUUGUCCCUUCUGCUUUCCGUGCUAAAAGAAAUCAGUUCGUGUACGGUCUGUUGCAACAGCGUUCUCUCUUGAAUCUGUGCUGUAGGUUGUUACCUGUCUUACUGGUGGUGCGUGUUGCAACCGGUAACGUGGCUUGCAUGCUAUAUAAGCUGCUGUAGUGACUGAUGGCUGUUGGAGUUCUUCUCAGGCUGCCAUUCUAUGCAGGGUUACUUGGAAGGUUACUCAGGUUGGAGUGAAUUGAAGAAGGCAAGAUUAGAAGCUUCUGACUCAUUCCCUUUCAUCCUGCACUAAUAGAUCAUGAUGUAAACAAAAGAAGAACUGUUAUCUUUGGAUGGGAGAGUUUACAGUCUGCAAACCUAUGAGGACCCAACAGAGUGAAAUACUUAGGAAUUUCUUGUUCAUGUAAUCAGUGAGUGGUUAUCUCAGGAUAACCAUGAGAUAGCAAGUACUUUCAUGUGAAAAGGGUUUUUCAACAGAGUUUGGAUUAAUCUAUCAAAAGCACCAUCCAUAAAAGUAUAAUUUGUUUCUCUGUUGUCUGAGUGAUCAAGAUGAUGUCCAGAUUUUCUUGCAUUUUACUGUACAGAUUUUGUCUCUGACACCUGAGACUUGUUAAUAACAGUGUUUCAAAUCCAGCAGACUGAUCAGGGAAGAACCUGUAGCCAGCUCUCAAUAAUGAGAGUCUUCGUAGGUGUCUAAAUAAAUGAGGCUCGGGGCACUGUCAGUAUACAACACAUCAAUUAGAUUUAGAUCCACAAGAAAGUAAGGAAUCUGGAUAUUUUUAGCUAUAAAUGGAUUCUGCCUGCCUCUACAAUUUUGAUGACAUCAAGGGGAGGGGAAAAUGUUUGCUGUUUUCAGUAGCUUCCUCCUGGGAGGAGUCAAAUCCACAGCUGUUCUUUCAUUUAGGAUUUUCCCCUACUCCCCCUCUUCUACUGAUUUAUUCAGAUAAUUUGUCUGAGCCCUAAGGUUUUCUGAGCUUUCUUUAAUGGGAGUUAUGUCUGCUGUCAGAUUCUCAAAUUUCCCUUGCAAGGAUUGAAAGUUUUGAGAGAUCUGUUCAAGUUAUCAGCAGCCAUAGUUUAAGCUAGGAAUGACAGCAGCAAAAGGCAGCUCCAGCUUUGGGAAUUUAGAAAUAUCCCCCUCUUCUUUUCCCCUCCUUCCUAGCAACAUCUUUGUUCCUGGCCAUUUAUUUUCACUGGUUACCACUAUGGU